Molecule: long non-coding RNA, 1595 nt
Filed under: Homo sapiens (human)
Lineage: Eukaryota; Metazoa; Chordata; Mammalia; Primates; Hominidae
Description: HSALNT0324118
Source: RNAcentral
AUUCUUGUCUGAUCUUGGCUGAUAUUAGGAGAGGCAGUCUAACCCAGAUGAAUGAAACUCUGCUUCCUUGAUCAUGGCUGCAAAGGGACACCGCCCCACGCCCCACCUCCUCUGUGCGGAGAUAGGAGGAAUCCCUCAGACCCCACAGCUCUCUCUCAUCUCUGGCAGCCUGCGCCCCAGGAGUAUGAGAUGAAAGAGAUCCACACGAUGGUCCCUGGCAUCUUUGGCUACUGUUAUUCUUCUAUAUCCCUUGGCCUAGGGAUCUAUUUUAGGCAGUAACUUCCACUCCCUCUCUGUCAGAAACCUCUCUCAUCAUUGAGCUAGAUUUUGGAAGUGUAGGAACAUCUGGUUUUUGGACUGUGAGUCCCCUCAAGGCUGAUAGGAUGUUUAAUUUUAGCUAAUGAAUGGAUGUUUAAUUUAUGAGUAUAUGAUGAAUAAAUAAAACCAGCUCUGAUGGUUUCAUUUUAAUCUCAUUCCAAGACAAAUCUUACUUUCUAUAUUUUCCCCCACAAAAACGGAUUUUUCUUCUCCAUUUCAAUUCUUUUCAUCUCCCUCUCCCCAAAAUCUCCAAUUAUCAGCUCUUCCAUGGAAAAUUUCUUCUCUACUCUCUGUUCUGACUUGUUCAUGAUCUAGUAGUUUUCUCUAAGGAAGGCUAUGUAGUUUGGAGGUUAUAAAGCUCAGGCUUCCUGAGUUCAAGUCCCAAUUCCACCAUUUGAUGGUUGUAACCUCUGUGCGUCUCAGUGUCCCCAUUUGUAAACUGGUGCUAGUCAUAGACACCAGGUUGUGGGGUUACCGAAGGAGGGGUAAUGAAGGUAAAAAAAGAGCAUCUAUCAUAGAACCUGGCAACUGAUGAAAGAUUCAAUAAUGUUGACUGUUAGUAACAUUUCAGUAACAUUUUACUUAAAUAGAUAGAGGUUAUGAUAUUAUCUAGGUAGGUAGCCCUUUCUUAAUGGCCUCAGUCUAACCCAACACUUUAUCAUAUGGGGAGAAAAUGUAUAAUGGAACUGUGAGGAAAAAUCUGGAAGAAUGGGUUGCUGGUGCCAGAGAGGAGGUGACUGGAAAGUGUAACAGCCUCUCUUGCCCUGCCCUGAAGCCACUUCCACGUGCCUCAGAGCCUUUGAGCCUCCAGCAACUCUGCCAUCUGCUCCAGGUGUGAACUUUGCACACAGUGAGCUCACUGAGGUCUGGCCUACUGAUCAGCUGUCUUAUUCCCCCCUUUCAAAAAAAGGAGCUGCACCGUCAUGAGUACAAACAACUUGCCUGGGUCUACAACCCCAAGGUGACAAUGUGGAGUUGUGAUCCCAGGUCUUCAGAGGACCAGCUGGGACCUUUGGGACCCCAAGGUGACGAUGUGGAGUUGUGAUCCCAGGUCUUCAGAGGACCAGCUGGGACCUUUGGGAGAUGCAGAGCUGCUGCGGCGCUCUUCACAUGCACUUGAUCUGCUGUGUCCACUAAAUCUACCCCACUUCUAACACCCCAGUCCUGGACUCCGUGGGUGCAAAACGUGAGUCUCUGCACCCCUCUUCACAUCCCUGGGGGGCUUGAGAAUAAGCCAGCAGCCCUGAGCUGGGCUCCUUGGCCUGGCCAUGACUGCC